RNAcentral lists this ribosomal RNA (301 nucleotides) under uncultured bacterium. Its description in RNAcentral is "partial 16S ribosomal RNA". It matches the Rfam family "Bacterial small subunit ribosomal RNA", at positions 509 to 807 of the family's 1533-position model. The record is from RNAcentral.
CAGCAGCCGCGGUAAUACGGAGGGGGCUAGCGUUGUUCGGAAUUACUGGGCGUAAAGCGCACGUAGGCGGCUUGGUAAGUUAGAGGUGAAAGCCCAGGGCUCAACCCUGGAAUUGCCCUUAAGACUGCCGAGCUAGUAGGUGAGAGAGGUAAGUGGAAUUCCGAGUGUAGAGGUGAAAUUCGUAGAUAUUCGGAAGAACACCAGUGGCGAAGGCGGCUUACUGGCUCAUUCUAGACGCUGAGGUGCGAAAGCGUGGGGAGCAAACAGGAUUAGAUACCCCGGUAGUCCCUGUCUCUUAUAC